This 391-nucleotide unclassified non-coding RNA is filed under the name soil metagenome. RNAcentral's name for it is "partial contains 5.8S ribosomal RNA, internal transcribed spacer 2, and large subunit ribosomal RNA". The stretch from base 1 to 122 matches the Rfam family "5.8S ribosomal RNA", at positions 35 to 154 of the family's 154-position model. The record is from RNAcentral.
GAUGAAGAACGUAGCGAAAUGCGAUACUUGGUGUGAAUUGCAGAAUCCCGUGAACCAUCGAGUCUUUGAACGCAAGUUGCGCCCGAAGCCAUUAGGCCGAGGGCACGCCUGCCUGGGCGUCACACGUCGUUGCCCCCCCAUCUACUCCUUCGGGAUUGCGGGGGGCGGAUGAUGGCCUCCCGUGCGCCUCGUCGCGCGGUUGGCCUAAAUGCCAAGUCCUCGGCGACGCACGCCACGACAAUCGGUGGUUGCGAAACCUCGGUUGCCCGUCGUGUGCGGUCGUCGCGCAUCGAGGGCUCGAAAAAAUUGCCGGGCUUCGGCUCGACUUUCAACGCGACCCCAGGUCAGGCGGGGUUACCCGCUGAAUUUAAGCAUAUAAAUAAGCGGAGGA